GUAAAAGUCGUAACAAGGUUUCCGUAGGUGAACCUGCGGAAGGAUCAUUAGAGAAAUUAUUGAGAGUUGAGCUGGCUUUUCACGAAGCAUGUGCUUGCUUUCUAAUUACUUUAUCCAUACACCUGUGCACCUUUGAGGUAGAGUGGAACUUGUUUCUGCCCUCCUCGUUUAUCACAAACUCUUAAUCAAACAUUGAACGUGAAUUAGUGCCUUACGGCCUUAAUCAUUAUACAACUUUUAACAACGGAUCUCUUGGCUCUCGCAUCGAUGAAGAACGCAGCGAAUUGCGAUAAGUAAUGUGAAUUGCAGAAUUCAGUGAAUCAUCGAAUCUUUGAACGCACCUUGCGCUCUCUGGUAUUCCGGAGAGCAUGCCUGUUCGAGUGUCGUAACCCUCUCAAUCCAACUGGUCUUUAUUGACUAUGCUGGAUUGGAUUUGGGCUCUGCCGUGUUACAGCGGCUAGCCUUAAAAGUAUUAGCUGAAUCUAGUCGUAGACUGGUUUGACUCGGCGUGAUAAUUAUCUGACCGCUGAGGACAUCGCAAGAUGGCCAGACAAGACAAUGAAUCGCUUCUAAUCGUCGUUCAAUGCGACAAUUUACCACACCUUUGACCUCGGAUCAGGUAGGACUACCCGCUGAACUUA
Molecule: ribosomal RNA, 641 nt
Filed under: uncultured Basidiomycota
Lineage: Eukaryota; Fungi; Basidiomycota
Description: eukaryotic LSU rRNA
Rfam family: 5.8S ribosomal RNA (bases 233-386)
Source: RNAcentral